This 258-nucleotide ribosomal RNA is filed under the name uncultured bacterium. RNAcentral's name for it is "partial 16S ribosomal RNA". It matches the Rfam family "Bacterial small subunit ribosomal RNA", at positions 96 to 354 of the family's 1533-position model. The record is from RNAcentral.
UGGCGGACGGGUGAGUAACGCGUGGAUAACCUGCCUUGCACUGGGGGAUAACACUUAGAAAUAGGUGCUAAUACCGCAUAAGCGCACGGUUCCGCAUGGAACAGUGUGAAAAACUCCGGUGGUAUACGAUGGAUCCGCGUCUGAUUAGCCAGUUGGCGGGGUAACGGCCCACCAAAGCGACGAUCAGUAGCCGGCCUGAGAGGGUGAACGGCCACAUUGGGACUGAGACACGGCCCAAACUCCUACGGGAGGCAGCAG